GUUUAAAAUGACAGGAAGACAGUGUUUUACAUUGUUGAAAGAUAAAGAAAAAGAAUCGGUUCUAGAACGUGCCGUCCUGUGUUUGUUUUCGACAGUUGAGGGGAGAGUCCGGUGCAUGCCAGAUACUAUCUAUUGAUUUCAAACACUCUAGUGAGAAAUAUAUGCAGAAGAAAGAACCAAGUAUGAUAAAUCCACGACAGACCUGGCACAAGCAUAUAGCAUGACACCACUACAGCCUCCAUGACAAAAGCAUAGUUAAACAAAUUAGACAUAAGCUAACAUGUAUAUAAUUAUACCCCAACAUACAAAGUAUAUUGGGCUAUGUUGGAGUCACGCAUGUCCAGUCCAUCCGUCCGUCCGUUCAUUUGUCCACCAUGGCUGCUGGGAUGAUUUUCAUAAAACUGACAUAAAUUAUAAACCACAUGAAGACAACGUACAGAGCGCUCAACCUAGGUCACAAGGCCCAAGGUCAAGGUUACUCGUGGAGGUCAAAGGUCAAAUACCUUAGCUUCAUGUCCGCUCUAUAUUGUCUAAACGGCUUUGAAAAUAUUAAGCUUGACUGUUUGAUGAAUAAGGAGGAUUACUGUACUUGCCUUGGCGUCUGUGUCACUGUCAUCGUGGUAUUGAAAGUUAAAAUUUUAGGACAAGCUUCUCAAUGUCACUAUAUAUCUUCUUACUAAUGCCCUAUUAACAUCAAACUUCACAUAAGUGUUGGUCUUGGUAAGAGAAAGACAUCUACAUGUAUUAGUUUAGGAACAAAUAUCCUAAAUGUCGAAGUCACUGUCUUAAAUAUUGUGAUAGUGCUGGUUAAAGUUUCAUGAUAAGCUUCUCAAUUUCACAACAUAACCUCACAUAAGGACUGAUCUUAGAACGUGGCAGAAAUCUUUUUGUUUAGGGUCACGUUGCUCAAAGGUCAAGGUUACUGGGGUCAGAUUUUGUAACAGUGUUAGUUAAAGUCUUGUGGCACAUUUCUCAAUUUGACUUAUAUCUCAUAACAUUUCCUGGAACUGAUAUCCCUCAUGUCCUAUCCUUUUUAGCUAUACCCACACUUCAUCUACAUUCCUCCCGACACCCAUCCAAAAAUGCGUUCCAUACAAAACUUAUAUUUCAUGUUUCCAUCAACUCCCCUACUCCACUGUCUUCACCUACCACCUCCACCCCAUUUCACCGAACCUUUACCCUCGCCCCUAACCCCCGUACCCUCCAUAAAAAGGAAAAAAAACUCCUUUUCGAUCUCCCACACUUACUUAUAAUAAUAACAAUAUCUUGUUAAACAUUUUUCUUAUAGUCGAGCAGACACAGUUAACUCAGAUCACUAGGUCCAAGGUCAAGGUCACACCUAAAAAUCAUGUCAUGAUGACAACAUUUUUCUUUCCCUUUAUCAAAGUGAGGUCUGGGGGUAUUAAUCGAUUUCAGUGAUGACCUUAGUUGAUCAGGUGUAAGUGGCAUAAAUGUGUAACAUUUGCUUUAUUUGGGGUGGGGGUAUAGGAAUGGUCUCCGUCCGUCCGUCGGCCCGUCCGGAACACUUUGUGUCCGGUCCAUAUCUCCUAAACCACUUGAAGGAUUUUCAUGAAACUUGGGUCAAAUGAUCACAUCAAGACGAUGUGCAGAAGGUAUGAGUUUGCCAUGUCGGCUCAAGGUCAAGGUCACAACUCAAGGUCAAAGGUUUUAGCCUUCCAUUUUGUGUCUAUUCUAUAUCUCCUAAACCUCUUGAAGGAAUUUAUAAAACUCGGGUCAAAUGAUCGCCUCAGCAAGAGGAUGUGCAGAACUUAUGAGUCAGCCAUGCUGGCUCAAGGUCAAGGUCACUUAGGGUUAAAGGUUUGAGCCUUCCAUUCUGUGUCCGCUUUGUAUCUCCUAAACCCCUUGAAAGAUUUUCAUGAAACUUGGGUCAAAUUAUCACUUCAUCAAGACGAUGUGUAGAACUUAUGAGUCAGCCAUGUUGGCUCAAGGUCAAGGCCACAACUUUGGAUCAAAGGUGUAACAGGUGUGAGCCUUCCAUUUUGUGUCCGCUCUGUAUCUCCUAAACCCCUUGAAGGAUUUUCAUGAAACCUGGGUCAAAUGAUCACCUCAUCAAGAUGAUGUGCAGAACCUAUGAGUUAGCCGGCUCAAGAUCAAGUUCAUAAAGGUUUGAGUCUUCCAUUUUGUGUCCACUCUGUAUCUCCUAAACUCCUUGAAGGAUUUUCAUUAAACUUGGGCCAGAUGAUUACCACAUCAAGAACUCAUGAUUCAGCUAUGUCAACUCAAGGUCAAGGUCACAACUCAAGGUCAAAGGUUUGAGCUCUCUAUCUCCUAAACCCCUUGAAGGAUUUUCAUGAAACUGGUCAAAUGAUCAACUCAUCAAGAUAAUGUGCAGAAUUCAUAAAUCAGUCGUGUCAGCUCAAGGUUAAGGUCACAGCUCAAGGUCAAAGGUUCAAGUUACCCUUUCACUAUCCAUAUCGGUGGCGGGGGUUUUAGCUGUCUUUCAGACUGCCAUGUAAUAAUUGAUUUUAGGAUGGGAGAUAUUUGUUUGUUUCAGUGUAAGAUCGAUCAAAUCAUUCUAAAUACAUCUCGUGAAAAUAAAAACUAGUGUUAAAGCGUGAAAAAUAAUUGAUUUUACUAUAAAUCAAAGAAAUUUUAUAUUAUGCAAUUAAAUAUAUGUGUACUAUUAAUCAAAGAAAUUCUAUAUUAUGCAGUUAAAUGUAUGUGUAUUGUAAAUCAAAGAAAUUUUAUAUUACGCAAUUAAAUAUAUGUGUACUAUAAAUCAAAGAAAUUUUAUAUUAUGCAAUUAAAUAUAUGUGUACUAUAAAUCAAAGAAAUUUUAUAUUAUGCAAUUAAAUAUUUGUGUACUAAAUUGUACACAUUUUACAAGUAUAACAUCUCACCCAACGCGCAACGUUAUAAUUCAUAUUCUUUUGCGUUAAAUUGAUGUUGCAUGCAAGUGAAAACUGUAUUUGGAUUUCUUACUUCUGAAACAGUGGGUUUAUCAGGGUAUAACCUGUCGUUUUAUUUCAACAAUAUCUGAAAGCGUGGCAAGAAAUUCAAUAAAACUAUAAAAUGUAGCGAUAAAAUCAUAGCUCUUUUAUUUAUUCAAACACACUUUCUACUGCACUUUGUCUGGUUGGUAUUAAGUAAUUUUAGCCUCAUUUCUUGUUCACUGAAAUUUACACUGUUUGGUAUAACUCAUAAUCGACACCUAACUUUAUGCACUAACAUUAACUCGUGGGGCUAAAAUGACUUUUAAAGCAAUUGUCUAUUAUCAGUAGAUCUAACAAUGUGUUAAACUGGUAAAUCUUUAAGAAUGAUGGGUAGAAAGAUUAGCUAAUCAAAUAUUUAGUAGACUUGUUGGCAAACUUUUAGGUUUUUAGUCCUCGCUUUAAAUAAUUACUGGAAUAUAACGUUCGAUUAUAACAUGAUGAACUCAUUGUUUCAAACGGAGAGAAAUCCAAAUAUGAUUUUUCACUAGCACGGAACAACACUUGAACGCAAAAGGAUAUGAAUUGUAUGUAAGGACUGGAAAUUUGCUUCAAAUAGAAAAAAGAUGUAUAAUACUGCUUACAAAAACACUAAAAUAAUACACGCCAAACUAUUGAAAUCUAAAAGAAACAUGUAUAUCGCGUAGAUAUAUUUAACUUAUUUCCAAGAGCAUAGUGACGUAAUGAAAUAUAGCGUGACGUUAUGCAUGGCGCAGGUCUCAGCGCAGUUGAAUAAGAUAACAUGAGAUAAAUUUAUUUUAACUCUGCGAGAUAAUAAAGCGGUACAAAAUAAGCGAUUAGUUUUACAUUAGUUAAAAAUUAAGAAUAAAAAUGAACGUGCAUUACAUAGAUCUAUAUACAUAUAUAAAUCUGGUAUAAUAAUAAUAAUAAUAAUAAUAAUAAUAAUAAAAAUAAUUAUGAUGAUGAUGAUGAUGAUAAUAAUAGAUAAGUUUUUCAAUUAAUUAAACAUUAAGAAUAAAAAUGAACAUGCAAUACAUAUAUACAUAUAUAAAUCUGGUAUAAUAAUAAUAAUAAUAAUAAUGAUAAUAUCAAUAAUAAUAAUAAUAAUAAUGAAUCAACUUUCUCGUAAUGCCGAAUUAUGUUUCACUCGGGAACACCAGUUUUCAGUUUAUUCGGUGAAAGAAACUUCGAUCUUAUACGGAAACCAACACAUGCCCCAUUUCUAUAUAUUUUUACAGCAGUAGUAGGUAACAAACGUCCUUAUUUUGAGGAGAUACGGCUUAAAAGUAAGGUUACACAACCUAGGACUGAAAUCAUUUUAACUGUUGUUAGAUAUUUUUUGUUUUAUGUUCCCAAGAUAAUCCCGUGAAGAAAUUUAACUUCACAUUAUUAUUCCUCAAGACCAGAUGACAUGUUGAACACAUCACCUAUGCCUGAUGGUCAAAGGCCAAAGGUCACAAUACAAGGUCAAAGGUUAGAUAUUUGGUUUUUGAUCCAUACCUUCUGUGCCUAGAAUGGUUUUAUUACUUAAUGGAUUUGAUUCAAACUUAAAAUAGUUGUUCAACAUCAUCACCCAUAUGAUAUGACACAAGGUCCAUAACUCUUGCACCAAUAUUUCAUAACUUAUCCCCCCCCCCACAUUUUUACUUAGAAUUUAAGGUUAAAGUUUUUAUACAUUUUCACUCUCAGUUAUUACUAAAUGGAUUUGAUUCAAACUUAAAAUAGAUGUUCCACCUUAUCAACUACAUUAUGUGACACAAGGUGUUUAACUCUGACACCAAUUUUUCAUGAAUUAUGUCCCCUUUUACUUAGAAUUUAAGGUAAAUUUUGAUGCAUUUCCACUAUAUUUUAUAAUAGUUAUAACUAAGUGGAUUUGAUUCAAACUUAAAAUAGAUGUUCCACCUUACCAAACACAUCAUGUGACACAAGGCGCAUAGCUCUGACACAAAUUUUUCAUGAAUAAUGUCCCCUUUUACUUAGGAUUUAAGGUUAAUUUUGAUGCAUUUUCACUAUAUCUCAUAUAUAUAACUUCUGUGCCUGAAAGGGUUUUAUUACUUAAUGGAUUUGAUUCAAACUUAAAAUAGUCAUUCCACAUCAUCACCCACAUUAUAUGACACAAGGUGCAUAACUCUUGCACCAAUAUUUCCUGAAUUAUGCCCCCUUUUUGGUAAAAUGUUUACUUAUUUCAUGUUUUGAUACACUUUAUCUGCACCUCUCUUAUGAUUUGAUAUUUUUUAACACAGACUCAAGCUAUUGUGCAACAUUUAUCCACCAUUGGAGUCAUUAAACACUACAGUGACAGUUCUUGACAGAUUUAAAUGUUUUUGGUACACAGGUGUAACAUCAUAAAAUACAAUUUUGAUGCAUUUUCACUAUAUCUCAGUUAUUACGAAAUGCAUUUGAUUCAAACUUGAAGUAGUUGUUCCAUAUCAUCACCUACAUCAUAUGACACAAGCUGCAUAACUCUUGCACCAAUAUUUCCUGAAUUAUGCCCCCUUUUUGGUUAGAAUUAUACUUACAUAGUGUUUUCAUUCACUUUAUCUGUACCUGUCUUAUAAUUUGAUAUUUUUCAACACAGACUCUGGCUAUUGUGCAGUUUACAUCCACCAUUAGAGUCAAAUCAAACACUUCAGUGACAGUUCUUGACAGAUAUAAAUGUUUUUUUGUACACAGGUGUAACAUCAUAAAAUACAGGUCAAGUUCGAUUUAAAUGUCACCUUCUUGUGGCCAUGUCUUUCUUAUGAUUGCCAUUCUUCUGUGACAAGACCGUAUUGUGGGGGUAUUCGUCACUACUGUGACAGUUCUAGUUUUGCUUGCUGGUUGUUUCUUAAUGACAGUCAAAACUUUAUAUAUAUUCUUUCGAUUACAUUUUUUUCUGACGGAGUUUUACAUUUUUAGUGAAAGCAUAGUUCAAAACAAUGAUUUUAUUGUACAUGUAUUAAAUUUUUAAAAUAUUCUUCAGAUUGAAUAUUUUCAUUAUGAUUAUACUUUACAAUGUCAUUUGUGACUACGUGUGCUAUUUAUUGCAGCUUGAGAAAUGAAUAAAAUACCAUACAGUU
Molecule: long non-coding RNA, 5971 nt
Organism: Mercenaria mercenaria
Lineage: Eukaryota; Metazoa; Mollusca; Bivalvia; Venerida; Veneridae
Exons: 2
Source: RefSeq, a predicted model, not a curated record